GUGCUCGUUUCCACAGCACAUAUACUAAAAUUGGAACACUUACAGAGAAGAUUAGCAUGGCCCUUGGGCAAGGAUGACAUGCAAAUUCAUGAAGCAUUUCAUAUUUUA
Small nuclear RNA from Pipistrellus kuhlii (Kuhl's pipistrelle), 108 nucleotides. The record is from RefSeq and is a predicted model, not a curated record. Lineage: Eukaryota; Metazoa; Chordata; Mammalia; Chiroptera; Vespertilionidae.